RNAcentral lists this ribosomal RNA (84 nucleotides) under Sphenodon punctatus (tuatara). Lineage: Eukaryota; Metazoa; Chordata; Lepidosauria; Sphenodontia; Sphenodontidae. The record is from RNAcentral.
GCCUAUGGCCACACCAGACUGAAUGUGCCCGAUCCCAUCUGAUCUUGGAAGCUAAGUAGUCCCAGGCCUGGCUAGUAGUUGGCA